UCGACAAUGACACAAUUUGUUAUCAACAAGGACAGGGAUUCUCUUGACGUGGAAAGCAUAUCUCAGACUCACCCUUCAAUUUCACAGUUUGAAUCAAACAAAUGAUAGAGUACAACAAAUUCUUCAAUUUUCCUCAACAUUUCACAUCAUGCUUUCCAGAACACCACAUUACACAAUCAGUUAAUUUUAGAAAGAAAAAAACAAUCACCUUUUUCAUAACAUUUUUUAAGAAAUUUUGAUUUUUAACAUAGAAUAUAAAAUAGGUGAAUCUAAACAUGUUUGUGUGUGAGGCCCCCCUCCCUACAUUGAGACCAGGUGCACUAUUAAGUAUGUUGUCCUUUUUAUAUAAUAGACCAAAAAUAUCAGCAUUUCAAAAGGACAACUUUCCUCUAACCAAAAAUUAAGUCCAAUUACUCUUCUGUCACCAUCAAUUUGAAUCUCUGUAAUCAAUCUUUAUACUUUGCUAUGAAUUUUAGUUGUAAUCACAGCAAAAAUUCAUCCUAGUAAAAAAGGCAUGUUUACAUAUUUUUAUUGGACCUGAAUAAAAAUUGAAAUGUCACAUUAAAAUGAAAUAUUCAAUUGAGAAAUUUUUUGGCAUUCUAGAACAGAAAUUUCUCAACACAGAACAAUGAUAUAUUCAAGAGGCAACACUUCAGUACCCUUAAGAGGUACAUAUAUGAUAUAUCUCAUGUCAUGUGAUGUAAAUUAUAUUAAACAGAAUUACAUAACUUUUACAAUACUUAAGUGCUGUAACUAUGUAAAAAUUAAUUUAAACAUAUGUAGAAAGAAUCCUCCAUAUUCAAGUAUUGCAUGCUAGGAUCUCAAUGAAACUGAGAAAUACCAAAAAAAUUCCAGUUUGGAAUUAGAUCUGCCAUAGGAUGCCAGAUGGAAAAUCCUGUGAAAAUAAAAAGGAGUUGAGGAAGAAGUAUUGGAACUCCCAAAAAGAAAACUACUAAUAAGACAUUCAAUAUAAGAACAUGGAAGUAAAAAAUCAGUAAAAUUAUACAUAAUGACAAUCAUUGAAUGAAGCAUAACUUCCCAAAGAGAUAACCAAACUUUCCUUAACCAAGAGCAAUAAAACUGAUUUAUGAUUGCUGAAAAUUUUCUGGUAGAGAUAUAAGGUUGACUUAGUGGUUGGAUAGAGAGUUAGUUAUUCGGGUCGACGAUUCGAUCUCCUCCUCAGGCAUUAAUUCUAACAAUACUAACUAACAUUUAUCUUUGAUAAAAAAAAUAAAAUAAAUCUCCCUGUUAGAGGCAGGCACUACCAAACAUCCUACAAAAAAUUCAUGUGUCACAAUUACUUUGCAGAGUAAAAUGUAGAAAUAUAAGUUUUAAAAGGAAAAUGACAUUCCUUUUUUUGCAUAAACCAAAGGUAUCACUACACUCAACUGCAAAGAUUAAUAUAUUGAGGUAAUAAUUACAUUUUCUGGUAGUUUGUUUGAAUUUUGUGUCAUUCAAUUUAUCAAAGUUGUUAUCAUCUUCUACUAGUUUAAUUUUAUCACAGUUAAAGCACAUCCAAUUUUCAAUAAAAAAACAAUGACAAUUUGUACAAUUACAAUAAAUAAAAUUAAAUCCGAGAUACAAAUACAAUGCGAUAAGGGAUAUAAUCUAAGCAAUACUAUAUCCAAAAUCUAUUAAAUAUAACAUCAAUAGCAUCUAAGUAAUUUGCAAAAAUUCAAUUUUGAUACCUGAUUCAAGUUUUUGCGUGGUAAGAGGAAUCAAAUGCCAACAAUCUUGAGGAUAAUGAAGAAGAGGAAUCCAAGGAAAAUUAAAAGGAAAAGGUAAUCAAUGAAGAUAAAGAGUUUGGUAGAGCCAUGAUUCCUCUUCUUCUUGGUUUUGGUCUCCGAUUCGUCCAUUUCUUCAAGCUUCGCCAUUGGUUUGAAUUGAAGGCAGAGUCGUGUUUGAGUUAGAGAAAGAGCGAAGAGAGAUUCGUUAAAAUCGCACUUCUCAAAGUAUUUGGGCUUUCAAAGACCCAAUAUGUGCUUAGAUGAAUUUGUUUAUCAACUUUAUAAUCCAUUUGUUGCGUAUUCAUGUCAUUUUGGUAUUGUAUUCAAUAAAAAUU
RNAcentral lists this long non-coding RNA (2062 nucleotides) under Cicer arietinum (chickpea). Its description in RNAcentral is "long non-coding RNA (CARI_LNC002019)". Lineage: Eukaryota; Viridiplantae; Streptophyta; Magnoliopsida; Fabales; Fabaceae. The record is from RNAcentral.